AAAUUGAAGAGUUUGAUCAUGGCUCAGAUUGAACGCUGGCGGCAGGCCUAACACAUGCAAGUCGAACGGUAACAGGAAGCAGCUUGCUGCUUCGCUGACGAGUGGCGGACGGGUGAGUAAUGUCUGGGAAACUGCCUGAUGGAGGGGGAUAACUACUGGAAACGGUGGCUAAUACCGCAUAACGUCGCAAGACCAAAGAGGGGGACCUUCGGGCCUCUUGCCAUCAGAUGUGCCCAGAUGGGAUUAGCUUGUUGGUGAGGUAACGGCUCACCAAGGCGACGAUCCCUAGCUGGUCUGAGAGGAUGACCAGCCACACUGGAACUGAGACACGGUUCAGACUCCUACGGGAGGCAGCAGUGGGGAAUAUUGCACAAUGGGCGCAAGCCUGAUGCAGCCAUGCCGCGUGUAUGAAGAAGGCCUUCGGGUUGUAAAGUACUUUCAGCGGGGAGGAAGGUGUUGUGGUUAAUAACCACAGCAAUUGACGUUACCCGCAGAAGAAGCACCGGCUAACUCCGUGCCAGCAGCCGCGGUAAUACGGAGGGUGCAAGCGUUAAUCGGAAUUACUGGGCGUAAAGCGCACGCAGGCGGUCUGUCAAGUCGGAUGUGAAAUCCCCGGGCUCAAC
This 623-nucleotide ribosomal RNA is filed under the name Salmonella enterica subsp. enterica serovar Braenderup. RNAcentral's name for it is "bacterial SSU rRNA". It matches the Rfam family "Bacterial small subunit ribosomal RNA", at positions 1 to 613 of the family's 1533-position model. Lineage: Bacteria; Pseudomonadati; Pseudomonadota; Gammaproteobacteria; Enterobacterales; Enterobacteriaceae. The record is from RNAcentral.